UGGGGAAUAUUGCACAAUCGGGGAAACCCUGAUGCAGCGACGCCGCGUGAACGAAGAAGGUAUUCGUAUCGUAAAGUUCUGUCCUAUGGGAAGAUAAUGACAGUACCAUAGAAGAAAGCUCCGGCUAAAUACGUGCCAGCAGCCGCGGUAAUACGUAUGGAGCGAGCGUUGUCCGGAAUUAUUGGGCGUAAAGGGUACGCAGGCGGUUUAAUAAGUCGAAUGUUAAAGAUCGGGGCUCAACCCCGUAAAGCAUUGGAAACUGAUAAACUUGAGUAGUGGAGAGGAAAGUGGAAUUCCUAGUGUAGUGGUGAAAUACGUAGAUAUUAGGAGGAAUACCAGUAGCGAAGGCGACUUUCUGGACACAAACUGACGCUGAGGUACGAAAGCGUGGGGAGCAAACAGG
This 403-nucleotide ribosomal RNA is filed under the name bacterium. Its description in RNAcentral is "partial 16S ribosomal RNA". It matches the Rfam family "Bacterial small subunit ribosomal RNA", at positions 355 to 776 of the family's 1533-position model. The record is from RNAcentral.